Podarcis lilfordi (Lilford's wall lizard) is the source of this 85-nucleotide non-coding RNA. The record is from the annotation of a GenBank genome assembly. NCBI's taxonomy places the organism in Eukaryota, Metazoa, Chordata, Lepidosauria, Squamata, Lacertidae.
GCCCUGGGCCAUAGCUCAGCAGCAGAGCACCUGCUUGGUAUGCAGAAGGCCCCAGGUUCAAUCCCCAGCCUCUCCAGUCAGAGCU